RNAcentral lists this long non-coding RNA (1183 nucleotides) under Piliocolobus tephrosceles (Ugandan red Colobus). Its description in RNAcentral is "lncRNA (ENSPTEG00000009940.1)". The record is from RNAcentral. Lineage: Eukaryota; Metazoa; Chordata; Mammalia; Primates; Cercopithecidae.
UUUUUUUAUUUUUUUUUAUUUUUUUUUAUUUUUUUUUAUUUUAUUUUAUUUUAUUUUUUUUAUUUUUUUUUUUAUUUUUUUUUUUUUUCGCAGAUACUACAGAGAUGACAUAAACGACGUCAAUCUCAGAAGCAGUAUGAACGAAGACACACUCGACGUUGAAAAUGUAGAACUAGAGAAAGAAGAACAGUAUGCACCUAAAAAGGCAGUAUACAUUAAAUCAUAUGCUAUUAAUACUUUAAUAGAAGAAAGUAUAAUUACACAAAAUGAUAAAUAUAAACAGAACAAUAUCUUGCAAAACAAAAAGAUACCUAGCUCAAAUGUGCAUAAUAACAUACUGUACAAGCUAUCCAUUCAAUUAGAAAAAGAAUUUUUAAAAAAUAAUAAAUUUAAAAAAAUAAACAAUACUACAGUAAGAGAAGGGGGAAAAAAUAAGUUAUCAAGUGAAAAGCGUAGCUAUAGCAAUGAUCAAAAUAAUCAAAAUGAUGCAAGUGACGGCGACUGUGAAAUAAAAAAAAGGUUAAAAUGUAAUGAAGUGUAUUCAAAUAAAGACAAUAAUAAACGCUUUGAUGACAGUUGCGAUGACAGUUAUGAUGGCAGACGUAGCAGUACGCAUGUAGACUAUUUUGUACCACCAGAUAACGAAUUAAUUAUUUCAAUUUUAAACGUGUUAACACAUAUUUACAAAACAAAAAAGGAAAUAUCUAAACAGGAUGUUCAUAUAUUUAAAAAAAUAAUCAAAUAUGGUGCCAUGUGGUUAUUCUAUAUAUACAAUGACAUCAGAAAUGAUGUUAGUAAAAAUGACGGAUAUAGUGAUAACAAUAAUAAUAAUAAUAAUAACAAUAAUAAUAAUAAUAACAAUAAUAAUAAUAAUAACAAUAAUAAUAAAAUAUACUUUUUUUUACAUUACGCACAAUAUAUACACGUAAACAUAUGUGAUAUCUUAGGUUGCCUUUUAAUUAUAAGGCGCUGUGCAUUAUACCCAAUGUUAUGUAAGUACAUAAUUCACAUGACUUUCAAUCAAAAUAAUAUUUACAUUGACCUUACAACUCCUCAUGUUCUAAUUCAUUUAGUUCAUUUAUUAAACGAUCAUAAUAUUUAUAUUCUCUCUUCAUGGAAAGUCAAAACCGCAAUUCUCAAGACACUCAUCGCGCUACUAUCUGAUUCCUAUGUUAUGGACUUA